GUCAGACCAGGAGCCUGGCUAAAGGAAACUCCACCACCAGGAACCAUCAGCUGCUAUGGCCAGAGAAGAGAACAUGGAAGUCCUAGAGGUGCCUGAGAUGCCAUGUUUCUAUCAGCCUUCUAGACGAUGCCUAUACUGCUGGACCAUGGGCCACACUUUGAGUAUGGAGAGCUUCCUGGAUUUUGCCCAGAAGCAACACAUCACUUUUGCUCUCAAAAGAAUUAAAGCAAGUCACAGGACCAUGCCCAACUUCAAGGCAGCAAAUAGUGUAAUCCAUCAUCUACAUCAGGAAAAAGAAAACUGAAAUUUUUGUGAACAGCUCCAAUGAAGGGCAAACAAUGUGAAGCUAGGAUCUGAAUUUAGGCAGGCUGGCCUCAGAAUCUGUGCUCUUAAUUAUCACUGUAUACAGUCAUGGGUAUUGGUCUAUUCUCUAUAAAGAGAAUGUCUGCCAGGCAGACAGCCAGUCAGGGAGUUAGAGUUGACUCAUGUGACUCUACACCGGGUGACUUAGCUUUAGUGUUCAAUGCAGCAGUUCUCGGCAUGGUGCUGCCACUCUGAAGUGUUUCAAUUCAUUUUUCAUCUUGAUAAAGUGCCAACAUUUAUGAAUUAUUUUUAAAUUAAAAACAUAGCUGGGAGUGGUGGUUCACACCUGUAAUCCCAGAACUUUGGGAGGCCAAGGUGGGUGGAUUGUUUGAGCUCAUGAGAUCGAGACCAACCUAAGCAACAUGGCGAGACCCUAUUCUUUACAAAAAAUACAAAAAAUCAGCCAGGUGUAGUAGCAUGCUCCUUAGUCCCAGCUACCUGGAAGGCUGAGGCGGGAGGAUCACUUGACCCCAGGAGGCAGAGGUUGCAAUGAGCACCUCUGCACUCCAGCCUGAGUAACGUGGCAAGGCCAUGUCUCAAAAAAAAAUUAAUUAUUUAAAAAAACUCUUCUGGUAGAAUCAAGCCUCUAUACUCUCUCAUCUAACAUUCUGCCAUGUUUUCUUGUUUUGGAGAAGGGGAGGGGUUAAAGGCUGGAGUUGCUGGUCUGGAAGAGUCCUAGGCUUGUAGUCAGCACAACAAACUCAAUUCCUAGAUUAUGUUGGCUGAGAAUAUGUAGAUAUGCGCCUGCUGCCUAUACCCAUAACUGGGAACUUCUAAUAUGCUCAUAAACUACUGAAUAUUGUGUAUGGGAGUGGUGGGUCUCAGGCCCCAAAUUAAAGUCUUUAAAUAGAGAAAAAUGGACUGGGUUACUGUCAGCAGAGUGCUGAGUGAAUGCUACAUCUCCUUCGAUUGACUUUUUGAUGCCCAUAGAGAGCCCCUGUCCCAUGCCUGCAGCCACCCACUUUGCUGUCAGUUCCCAGGCUGAAGUGAGGAGGGACUGUUCAGAAACGUCAGACUGAGCAAGGUCUCUGUCUAUCUUAUGGAAAACCUGAUCUGGAAAUUACACUUGGAAUAAAUUAUGAUUACUCCUCCAUUAAAAAGAAAUCCACCCAAAAGAGAGAAAUAGUGGUAUAUUUCAGUUUUACAUAAUAAUUUCUUAAGGUAAGAUAACCCAUUGCAUUACUUUAUUCUGUUAGAAAUUUAACUAAAUGUGAGGGGGACAAUGGGUCUUGACUUUUUUUUCCUUUUGGAGAAUAAAGUUUGCCAUAUUGAAAAAUGCUGUCAGCUCUGCCCACCAGUUCUGUCAUUAAUCAUGGGAAGAGCUGAUCAGGUUUUGAUUGUUUCUUCAGAGGCACUUUUGUCGUAUAAUGCAUAUAUUUCAAUUAAAAUAUGCAGAAGAAUGCAAAGUUAAUAAUUAAGGGAAAAUGAUAAAGUGUUGCUAUUGCCAUUAAUUA
Molecule: long non-coding RNA, 1817 nt
Organism: Callithrix jacchus (white-tufted-ear marmoset)
Lineage: Eukaryota; Metazoa; Chordata; Mammalia; Primates; Cebidae
Source: Ensembl